GACAGAGGUCCCGAGCGUUAGGCGGAAUCACUGGGCUUAAAGCGUGUGUAGGUGGAUGCCUAAGUACCUUGUGAAAUCCCACGGCUUAACCGUGGAAUUGCUUGGUAUACUGGGUGUCUUGAGCCACUUAGGGGCAACCGGAACAAAUGGUGGAGCGGUGAAAUGCGUAGAUAUCGGAAGGAACGCCGGUGGCGAAAGCGGCGCGCUGGACCUCUACUGACGCUGAGGCGCGAAAGCCAGGGGAGCGAACGGG
This 253-nucleotide ribosomal RNA is filed under the name uncultured bacterium. RNAcentral's name for it is "partial 16S ribosomal RNA". It matches the Rfam family "Bacterial small subunit ribosomal RNA", at positions 524 to 776 of the family's 1533-position model. The record is from RNAcentral.